AACGCUAGCGGGAGGCUCACACAUGUUCAAACCGAGCGGUAGAGAUUCUCCGGAAUCUUAAGAGCGGCGCACGGGUGCGGAACACGUGUGCAACCUGCCUUUAUCUGGGGGAUAGCCUUUCGAAAGGGAGAUUAAUACCCCAUAAUAUAAUGAGUGGCAUCGCUUAUUAUUUGAAAACUCCGGUGGAUAGAGAUGGGCACGCGCAAGAUUAGAUAGUUGGUGAGGUAACGGCUCACCAAGUCAAUGAUCUUUAGUGGGGCCUGAGAGGGUGAUCCCCCACACUGGUACUGAAGACACGGACCAGACUCCUACGGGAGGCAGCAGUGAGGAAUAUUGGACAAUGGGUGAGAGCCUGAUCCAGCCAUCCCGACGUAGAAGGACGACGGACCUAUGGGUUGUAAAACUUCUUUUGUACAGGGAUAAACCUUUCCACGAUGUGGAAAGCUGAAGGUAACUGUACGAAUAAGCCACCGGCAUAAGUCCGUCCAGCAGCCGCGGUAAUACGGAGGGUGCAAGCGUUAUCCGGAUUUAUUGGGUUUAAAGGGUCCGUAUGCGGAUCUGUAAGUCAGUGGUGAAAUCUCAUAGCUUAACUAUGAAACUGCCAU
Molecule: ribosomal RNA, 605 nt
Filed under: uncultured bacterium
Lineage: Bacteria
Description: bacterial SSU rRNA
Rfam family: Bacterial small subunit ribosomal RNA
Source: RNAcentral